UCUUCCACAAUGGGCGAAAGCCUGAUGGAGCAACGCCGCGUGAGUGAAGAAGUAUCUCGGUAUGUAAAGCUCCAUCAGCAGGGAAGAAAGAAAUGACGGUACCUGAGUAAGAAGCCCCGGCUAACUACGUGCCAGCAGCCGCGGUAAUACGGAGGGGGCAAGCGUUAUCCGGAAUUACUGGGUGUAAAGGGAGCGUAGACGGUGAUGUAAGCCUGGAGUGAAAGGCGGGGGCCCAACCCCCGGACUGCUCUGGAAACUAUGUGACUGGAGUGCAGGAGAGGUGAGCGGAAUUCCUAGUGUAGCGGUGAAAUGCGUAGAUAUUAGGAGGAACACCAGUGGCGAAGGCGGCUCACUGGACUGUAACUGACGUUGAGGCUCGAAAGCGUGGGGAGCAAACAGG
Molecule: ribosomal RNA, 400 nt
Filed under: uncultured bacterium
Lineage: Bacteria
Description: bacterial SSU rRNA
Rfam family: Bacterial small subunit ribosomal RNA
Source: RNAcentral